Non-coding RNA from Cherax quadricarinatus, 10889 nucleotides. The record is from RefSeq and is a predicted model, not a curated record. NCBI's taxonomy places the organism in Eukaryota, Metazoa, Arthropoda, Malacostraca, Decapoda, Parastacidae.
ACCCGUAUGUUGGCAGAUUUGUCCUUGGUUGGGUGCUACAACAAGUCGAUGAUGAAGCCAGAGGAGCGGAAUAAGGCAAUGCUUUUGUCAGCUAAGAAUAACCUGAAGAGGAUGGCAUUCUUUGGCUUGACCGAGUAUCAAGAAAUCAGCCAAUAUUUGUUUGAAGAAACAUUCAAUCUUAAGUUUGGAGUUCGCUUUGAACAGCACAACCAGACCAUAUCUGAUUUGGCUCUACAGGACAUUGACUCUGAAACUCUCAAACGUAUUGAAGAGUUAAACAGCUUAGAUGUUCAACUCUACGAGUAUGCGAAAGAACUACUACAACAACGAUUCAAGAAGUUAUCAUCACAAGAUGUUCACUUUAAGGAGCACUUCUUGAAUAUGGGUCGAAAUAAGUUUUCAUGGUCAGAUAUUGAACAAGAGCAAUGAUAAAAUUUUCUUCUGUGAUUACAUAGGAAUUUUGUAUUUUUAUUAAUGUUUGAGUUGAUAACUAGAUGCAUGUGAUAAUAUUUUCUUAUUGGCUUAAUAGCAUUUGUAGAAUGUACAGUAAGCUAUUUGACAUAAACUAAUUUGUAAAGCAAAAGAAAGUUCUUAUUUAUAUAUUGAAAAAUAUUGAAUUCCUUUAUUUAUGUGGGUAUGGGUAUACCCUGUCAGGAAGAGUCUGAUGUUUAUUGAAGUCCUCUUAAUCAAGGACAAGGCAGUGUUCAUACAGUCACUUAUCCAGUUACUGGUCACAUUAAUGGUGCUUACCAUGACUAUCAGAUGUGUACAUCUAAUGUGUAACCCAAGUUUGCUUUAAUGAUGCACUGUACAUACAUGAAUGAACAGAAAGAUAGACGUCGGACUAUCAGUUCAUUGACCGCAGUUCGAUCCCCUCAUCCAUCCUUCCGUUUAUUCAUUGACAGUUGCUUAUUAUAACUUAAUCUGAGUUCAUGUACAUACAUAUUUAAAACUAAUACACAGAGUAGUAGAACACUGGAAUGGGUUACAAGAGAAGGCAGUAAGUGCUACAACUACUGGACACUUGAAAAACAAUGUCAUGAAGACAGGGCACCAUAAGCUUAGCUCUACCUCUCUACCUUGCUACAAAUAAGUAGUGGAAUACCAUAACCUCAGAAUCAGAUUCUUCUCAUAAUCUGAAACUUGAUAGUCGUCCUUAGAAAAUGAUAUUCUUGAAGGGAAAAAUUUAAAUUUCAAGAAAAACAUUUUGGACCCUAAUAUAAUUAUAAAUACAAAAGUCAUUAACACUAGCCAAUAAGCUAUACAUACAUGUAACUCGGGAUGCAAAUGGAGCCUUUGUUCAGAUAAUUUUUGUUCUUAACCCUUUCAUUAUCUUGUAUGUCUGUUAUUUACACCAGGGUUGUUUACGUAGAGUUACAUUUUGAGCUCAGCUUCCUCAAGUAAGCUGUGAGUAGUAUAUUUUGGCCUUUCAGUGCUGCACCACGUGGUGCAUGAUGGGAAAGCAAACCUCUGGCGAUGUGUCUGGUUUACAGUAGCAACUAGGAUAGUUUUUAUGAUUUUCUUAGCUGUUUCUUGGCGCCAUUUGAUAGAAUAGAAGACAUACUACUGAAAUAGUGAUAAUUUUGAUUGGUUUCAGGACCAAAAGUAGUUUGAAAUCAUGCUCAGAGCAAAAAUAUUCAAUUUUUGACAAUUUUCCUGGUCUGUUUUAUGGGAUUUUACUUGGUUUGAUUUAAUUAUUGGGAUGCUGUAAACCAUAACUAAUCAUUUCUGGUUAUAUUUUUAUCUGAGAAUUAUGGUUAUUCGUAGAUUUAUUCAAAAUGUUCAUAAAUCAUAUCCUCAGGAGAAGCCUGAAAAUAUGAUUAUUGAACAGAGGAAGCAUUGCUUAGUGCCUGGAGUGUCUGCAUUGUGCAUUGUCUAUUUUUGACUCAGUUUUUAAAUUGGAAUCUUGUAAUUUUGUGUGAAAUUGGCCAAAUUUUCAACUUCUUUGUUGCUUAUAGGGUAGUUCUAAUAGUUGAAUUAGUGGUUUCUUUUCAUAAAUCAAUAAAAUGGAAGGGAUACUAGGAAAUAGCUAAGAAUUUGGUCGAAUUGAGGAAAGACGUAUGUAUAAAAUAGGAUUCAAAUUGGAUGAAAUCGCUGAUGUGUAAAUUGCAUCUAGACCACUAACUUGCAUCUGCGUAAUUCUGUAAGGUUUCCAUCAAAUUUCAUAUUUUUUGAUGUUAUUACCUUUAGAAAAAGAUUCUGUACCAUUUCAAAAGAAAAUAUAUAUAUUUUUUUUUUAACAUUAUUAAUUUUGGGGCUUCUGACAGUGAAGGUGUUAAUGUUUCUACUUUGUCUAGUACAUACCUGACUCAUAACUCACAUGUUGUCCCUGUAAGUCAUGAGUUAGAUAUGUUCUUAUAAGAGCAUAAGGAAAGAAAUUGGUGCAUAAUUUUUUUUUUUUUCACUCUUCAUUUUUGUCUUAUGAUUUUUUUUUAAUUACCAUACCUUUGAACAAGCCAAAAUUUCAAACUUCUUAUAGCCCUGGUCAAGCUAGAUUUUGUGCCCGACUAUAGUUGCUACUCGUCCACACACGAGCAAGGAAGUCGUGGAAGCAAAUAAGAUACAAGGGUGUUAGGAAAGACUUCUUUAGCCUCAUGAUGGUUGAGGUAUGGAAUUAUUUGCAUGAGGUGAUUAAAAGCCAACACCACAUGCAGUUUUAACGAUAGAUAAGACAGAGUCAGUGAAGCAGGGAACUUGUACUCGGUAAUUUACUGUCACACAGCAGUGCUAGUAGGCAACAGUGAUAAAUUCUUACCUGGGAAACUAAGUAUGAAGCACAAAAAGAACCAGUGGUUUUUUUUACCAGAUCCCUAACAGACGAAAAGGAGUGCAUUGCAAAAAAUAUUAGGUAUGUAUGUAAUGUUAUUGAAAAUAGAAAACCAAAUGUGAGAGCUAAAAAUUAGCACAGUGCAAGAAAUAAAUGGAAGUCAAGGGAAAAACCCACUUAGGUUUAGUGCUAUCCAUGAAUGUACUGUCAUAAUAAAUGAAAUGGAAUUGGACAGGACUUAACUUUUCUCCUGAUGCAGGCCUAAACCAGGUAACAUAGCAACAUUUACAAGACUAACAAAUGUAAGAAAUGCUUUCAGAGACUAAAUAGGAACUCAUUCAUGGCUUUUAUACUAAUGUCAUGCCACUUUUUAGGUGCACAGUACCUGCAUAGUUCACAAAUACGUACUCACAGGGAAGCAGUAAACUACUAGGGAUCGUGCAGUACCUGUGAAAUGGGAUUCAAGAUUUGAUUCUAGGAAUGUAAGUCGGCCAUCUUCCACCAAGGCAGGGUGACCCAAAAAGAAAGAAAAUCCCAAAAAAGAAAAUACUUUCAUCAUUCAACACUUUCACCUCACUCACACAUAAUCACUGUUUUUGCAGAGGUGCCCAGAAUACAACAGUUUAGCAUAUACGUAUAAAAUACGUAUAGAAAUACGCAAUAUAUUCCUCCAAAUUGACAACAAUUUUUAUGUUCUGAUAAUUACAAUUUAUAAUAGUUGUUGUGAUUCACAGCCAAUCUUUGUUCUGACACUAAUAAUAGGUACUGAAAUAGUACUCAAAUAGUUACAAACACACUGACAGGUGAACAUUUUCACUUGCCUUGAUCACAUACUAUUAUCUAGAAAUAUAUACGAAGUAUUUAUAGGUCCCAGCAAUGUUUGAGACAUGCUGGAGUAUAUAUAAAACUCCUUGAUGCAUGGUGUAUUAUUACUGUAAGACGAGUGUCUCUCCAGUGCAGCAGUGGAGCGACACUUGAUGAGCGUGCAGUGCUCCAGAGAACCCUGGCUUUAUUUGUUUUCACUGUUACACACAAACAUGUCUGUUUAGCACUGCUUAUCUGUCUAGCUCUGUUUAUGUCUGUCUAGCUCUGCUUAUCUGUCUGGCUCUGCUUAUCUAUCUAGCUCUGCUUAUCUGUCUGUCUAGCUCUGCUUAUCUGUCUGCCUAGCUCUGCUUAUCUGUCUGCCUAGCUCUUGCUUAUCUAUCUAGGUCUGCUUAUCUAUCUUGCUCUGCUUAUCUGUCUAUCUGGUUCUGCAUUUAGUGCUGCUUAUCUGUCUAUCUAGUUCUGCUUAUCUAUCUAGCUCUGCUUAUCUGUCUAGCUCGGCUUACCUAUCUAGCUCUGCUUAUCUGUCUAGCUCUGCUUAUCUGUCUAGCUCUGCUUAUUUAUCGAGCUCUGCUUAUCUGUCUUUCUGUCUGCCUGUGUGUGUCUAUCUUUCUGUCUGCCUGUAUGUGUCUGUCUGCCUGUGUCUGUCUGUCUUUCUGUCUGCCUGUGUGUGUGUGUGUGUGUGUGUGUGUGUUUGUCUUUCUGUCUGCCUGAAUGUGUCUGUCUUUCAAUCUGCUUGUCUCUGUGUCUCAGAGAGCGGCUUGUAAACAACCAACAGGUAUUACACAUUAUGCAGAGUCGUCACAUCUGAUUCCUUAUCAAGUGAAAAUGUAUAUUACUCGCCAGUCAUGAUUAUUAUGCCUUAUAGCUACAAGCACUGUAUAGCACUUGGAAUUUUUUCGGUUAUCCUAGGUAAUUUGCACUAUGUAUAAUAACUGUACUUAUGUGUACCUGUGAGAGAGAGAUAGAGAAAUAGACAUACAGACAGAGAGACAGCCAGUCAGCCAACCAACCAGCCUGCCGAAUACAUAUUACACAUGUUCCAGAAUCAUUUCUCUUUACUUAGGGCAUAGGUUAUAGGACAUUCUGGCAAGAUGACACUACGGGUGGUAUCAAAAAUGAAAGGGUGUUGCACAAAUGUUGCACAUGGGUUAUUAUUGAGGUUUUUGAUAUUUCCUCAACCACUUGUGGCCACAUCCAUCUCGAAGCCACUAAACUCUGGGUCAACAUCACUUUCCUCUUAAAAGGGGAGUGUUAAUACGACAUGACAUCAGUGACUCCAUGGUGUUUGCCACGCUCUUUGUUCUAUCUGGCGCUCACUUGAAUUGGUGCUCCCACAAGGUACUAAGUGGUCCCAGAUUUCUUUUUAAUACUGAACACACCGAGUGUAAGACCCAUUCUGUACUGACCAGGCAUCUCAGGCCAAUCAUGCCAAAUUUGGAGGCAGGAAAAAUUAUAGAGCUAUGUUUGGAGUGCUAGCGGUACUAAUGUAGAUCAACAUUUGGACAGUUUAAGGGUUAAUACUGUAAUUAUAAGUUCGUUUCAUAUAUAUACAUUUUGUUUCCUUGGUGUUUGUGUAUAAAAUGUGCUAUUUCUUUUAUUUAGUGUAUUUUCUUUGUUUUUGUCCCUCUGCCCAAUUUUCUUAUGACUUGACAGUGCAAACUUAUAACAUGGUAAAUGUUGGUUUAAAUUGUCUCUUUAUUUUUCACUAAUUUCUUUACCUUUUUUUUUUUUCAUUGUAGGUUUACUCGUAUGAGGCUUUCAGUGAUCUUGUAUUAGAGGUAUUGUUUCCAAAUAAAGCAAACAUAUGAAGGUCACAACUAAGUUUGAUUAGGGUUAUUUUGCUGUCCUUUCUCAUCUUCUCUGUUACUGUAUAUAGUAGCUGACUUCAACCCUGGUGACCUAAGUAAAUGGCAGGCACAGGAGGCCCUGCAGAUAAGCAACAACUUAUAUGAGAUUCAGCAGGACAUGGAAGUUUGACCCUCUAAAUUUUUACUAUUAGGCUGUUCUUUUGUCGAUUGAGGAUUGGGGGCAUAUGCCUCAUUUCUGGCUAUCUGCUUGUAGGUGACCUCUGUGCAGCAUGUGGCACACCACUAGCUUUGGCACAUUUUUUUUUCUUCAACAAGAACAAGAACAAGAAGAAGAAGUCAGCCAUCUCCCACCAAGGCAGGGUGACCCAAAAAAAAAAAAAAUCCCCAAACAGAAAAUACUUUCAUCAUUCAACACUUUCACCUCACUCAUACAUAAUCACUGUCUUUGCAGAGGUGCCCAGAUACAACAGUUUAGAACCAUAUAUAAAGAUAUAUAACAUAUCACUCCAAACUGCCAAUAUCCCAAACCCCUCCUUUAAAGUGCAGGCAUUGCCCUUCCCAUUUCCAGUACUUGAGCCCAGCUGUAUAAAAAUCACCAUUUUUUUUUAAAUUUCACUGGUGGAUUAUGCAAAGAAGUCUUCUUUGUGAACAUUCUUAUCAUAACACUCUUUACUUUCCUGACACAGUUUUCACUUACAACUAUUAUUCUUUUUACAAACCAACAACCAUUACUUUCCUUCCUCAACUACCACCUACAACUGUUACCUUCCUUUCACAUCUACUAUUCUUUUCACCAACUUCGCCUUCAACACUAUCUAUUUAUCAUCACCGCGUUUGUUAAACCCUCUCUUUUAAUCACAAACACCAUACCACCUUUUAUCCCAACAACCAUGACUACUACUAUUACUGAAAAUAUCUAUUAAAAUGUAUGGGGGCUUGGGAGCAUUUUUGGUUAAUUAUGUGUACCAAAACUUUUUACAUUAAUAAAAAGUAGUGGCAACAGUUGAUGCUGAAGGGCACCACCUGUAGUUUCCAUUUUUAUGUAAUUUUUUUUUUUAACACAUCGGCUGUCUCCCACUGAGGCAAGGUGACAAGUCUGGCUAACCAGUUUUCCCUGAAUUCCUUCUCAAAAUUACCCUGCUCACCCUCCAACAGCACAUCAGGUCCCAAAAAUCAUUUGUCUUCAUUCAUUCCUAUCUGAUGUGUUCACACAUGCCUGCUGCAUGUCCUGGCCCUAUGCACACACAACCUCAUUUACCCCCUCCCUACAUCCUUUCCUAGGAUGAGCCCUACCCCUCCUCCCCUCCACUACAGAUUUAUAUACCCUCCAAGUCAUUCUAUUUUGCUCAAUCCUCUCUCAGCAACCCCUCUUCAGCCCUCUGAAUAAUACUUUUAGUAACUCCACACCUCUUCCUAAUUUUCAAAUUACAAAUUUUCUGCAUAAUAUUUGCACCAUGACAUGACAUCUCCUCUGCCUCCAGCCUCCUCCUUGCUGUAGCAUUCACAACCCAUGCUUCACACCUAUAUAAGAGUGUUGGUACCACUAUAGUACUCUUGUACAUUACCUUCUUUGCUUCCAUGGAUAACGUUCUGUCUCUCCACAGAUACCUCAGUGCACCACCCACCUUUUUUCCUUCAUCAAUUCUAUGGUUAACCUUGUUCCUCAUAAAUCUAUCUGCUGAGAAGUCUAUUCUCAAAUAUCUGAACACACACUCCUUCCAUACUCCCUCCCUCCAGUGUGAUUUCCAGUUUUUCUUUACCUAACUCAUUUGAUACCCUCAUCACCUUUCUCUUAUCAGUGUUCACUUUCAACUUUCUACCUUUAUACACCCUCCCAAACUCAUCCACUAACCUUUGCAACCUUUUUUUAGAAUCUCCCAGAAGCACAUUAUCAUCAACAAAAAGUAUCUGUGUCAACUCCCAUUUUGUAUUUGAGGGGAUAAGGGAGGUUUUGUGGGAGAGGGGCUUGGACUUUCAGCAAGCAUGUUAGAUAGGAGUGAAUGGAGACAAAUGGUUUUUGGAACCUGAUGAGUUGUUGGAGUGUGAGCAAGGUAAUAUUUUGUGAAGGGAUUCAGGGAAACCAGUUAGCCAGACUUGAGUCCUGGAAGUGGGAAGUACAAUGUCUACACUUUAAACCUUUGACUGUUUUGGUCGUAUAUAUACGUCUUACGCGCCACUGUUUCUGAAGUAUUUCUUUCUUCUUUCAACACACCGGCCGUAUCCCACUGAGGUGGGGUGGCCCAAAAGGAGAAACGAAAGUUUCUUCUUGUACAUUUAGUAAUAUAUACAGGAGAAGGGGUUACUAGCCCCUUUGCUCCCGGCAUUUUAGUCGCCUCUUACAACACGCAUGGCUUACGGAGGAAGAAUUCUGUUCCACUUCCCCAUGGAGAUAAGAGGAAAUAAACAAGAACUAGAAAGAAAAUAGCAGAAAACCCAUAUUUAUGAGACAGACAAAAGACACCAGCAAUCCUACCAUCAUGUAAAACAAUUACAGGCUUUAGUUUUACACUCACUUGGCAGGAUGGUAGUACCUCCCUGGGUGGUUGCUGUCUACCAACCUACUACCUUUAUUUCUGACGUACAUAUUUAUACGCAUAAAUUCUAGCGGCUUCAAAUCAAGCGGGAGAAAGCUGAUAGGCCCACAUGUGAGAGAAUGGGUCUGUGUGAUCAGUGUGCACCACAUAAAAAAAAUCCUGCAGCACGCAUUGCGUAAUGAGAAAAAAAAAAGCUCUGACCAUUUUUUUUGGAUUAAAACGGUGAAUUUGAGGCGUAUUUUCAUAUAGUAUUUAUCGUUGUAUUCUCGUUUUCUUGGUCUCAGGUGAUAAAAUGGAAAACAUAUGACAGAAGUAGAGAUGAUUUUGAUUACUUUCACGAUGAAAAUGACCUUGAAAUUGAGCUCAAAGUAGCGGAAAUGUUCGAUUUUUACCAAUGUUCAGCAGUAAGCAAAUCACACCACACGUCCAGUACACUUUAACUGGGGACUCUGAUAUUCUUUCACUAGUGCACUGAUAUUAUUUAUACCAUUUUUACAAUAAUGUAGUAGUCUGCAUAAGAGUAAAUUUUUUAUUUUUUUUGUAUAAAUAAAAAAUCAAAAUAGAAAGCAAUAGUAAUAUAAGAGGGGCCUAGAGACGUGACUAAUGAACAGAGGAUAUGUUAUUUUAGUGCCAAGAAUGUCUACAUUGUUUAUUCUGGACCCUAUUUUGAAAUUGGCAUUUUUUAAUUUGCGUGAAAUUGGCCAAAUUGCCAAUUUCUGACCACUUUAUUGGGUAGUUCAAAUUGGUAAAUGGGUGGUUUCUUGUACUCAACUGAUAGAAAAAGUGGAGUUCUAAAGAAAUAGCUAUGAGUUUGGUCAACUGGAACAACAGAAUUGGCCAAAAACAGAGCUCAAAGUCAGCGAAAUCACCAAUGCGUAUAUGUCGCCGAGACCUCUAACUUUGCGGGAGCGUAAUUCUGUGAGUUUUUGACCAAAUUUCAUACUUUUGGUGUCAUUACCACCGGGAAAAGAUUCUCUAUCAUUUCAUAAGAAAAAAAAAUUUCCAAAAAUUAUCAACAUAGAAUGACAGUUUCAAAGGUUUAAAGGAGUGGUUUGGGAUAUUGGCUGUUUGGAGUGACAUCUAAACUGUCAUAUCUGAGUGCCUCUGCAAAGACUGAUUAUGUAUGAAUGAUGGUGAAAGUGGUGAAUGAUGAAAGUUUUUUCUUUUUGGGUCUCCCUGCCUCGGUGGCAAAUGUCCGACAUUUCCCACCGAGCAUUGUCUUCUUUUACAACCCCAUCUAUAAAUAUGUUAAACAACCAUGAUGAUGUUACAAAUCCAUCUAAGGCCUACUUUUACUGGAAAAUAAUCUCCCUCUCUCCUACACACCCUAACCUGAGCCUCACUAUCCUCGUAAAAACUCUUUACAGCAUUUAGUAUCUUACAACCUAUUCCACACACUUGCAACAUCUGCCACAUUCCUUUCCUGUGCAUCCUGUCAUAUGCAUUUUUUAAAUCCAAUGCUUGUGUAGUGUCUGAAUGAUAGAAAAUUCUGAUUGAUUGAACUGAGACAUGUCCCAUAUUCCAAAAUUAAUCCAUUUGACUGAAUUUUGAAGUCUGUUUUUUUUCUGUAUGACUAGUUUCAGCCUUUUUCAUAUACCUUGGUUUCCAAGCAUGUUGUGCAGUUUGUAGUCCCAAAGGAUUGAAUGAUGUCAUAUGUAGGUCAAAGAAUUUUUAAAUUGGCUUAUGAGGAAGCCUAAUCUUAGCAACACACGAUGUUUUCUUCCUCCCAUCCCUCUCAUUCUUUGAUCAGAACUUGUCAGGGCAUGGGCAGCUGCAUAAUUUCUGUGAUUUGGGGGGGGACAGGUUUAGUACUAAAUAAUUUACUUGGGGGGGGGACAGGUUUAGUACUAAAUAAUUUACUUGGGGGGGGGGAGGCCUUAGGGGUGGCUAUCUGGAUGGAGACUUGUUUUGACAGUAUUAUUAUUAUUAUCACAGCUUUUAUUGGGGUAGCUUUGGAGGAAGGGAGGUAGAGGAAAUUUGUGGGUGGGAGGUUAGAAGCUCCCAAGCCCUCCCAUAGCAUUGCUUCUGUCGGGGCAUUGCUUUCCGAGAUAUCCGAGGCUACUGAUCAGCUACACACACUAUGAAGAAUUCAGAAACAUUAGGUAACUACAAUAACAAAAUAUUUUAUGACCAGCACAGUAUUAACUGUACUAUACUCUAAAAAUAUUUCUAAAACAAUGUCACAUGUAGGAUUUUCCAUAAUUAUGUCUCCUCAAGGGAGGUUCAUCGAUACUGGUGAGGUGAUUUUUAAUCCAAGGAAUUGGACGUGACCUCACCUUGUUUGGAUAGAACUUGAUUACCUCUCAUUUUUCCAGGCAUUGUGGGACCUAUAUGGGUUUAAUGUCCCCUCCCAUAAAUGUAAUCAUAAUCCAUCCAUCUUUUACAGUAUUUUUGUUGUAUCUACAGAAUAUCCAUACCUGUAAGUAGACUAUUUUUUACACUAGUUGAACAAAUGUUCAUGCUUCUUAAGAAAAGCAUGUACAAAUGCAAUAUAGAUAAUGAACUAUUUUUUAAGUUUAUAUUUAUUUGUUUUAUCAUACUGCUAUAUUAACUCCUGUAUAUCAGGCAGUGCUGUCAUGAUACUUUAAAAAAUAGUAGUCUAUCCUCCUAGUCAUGUACCAGUACAAAAUAAUACUGGAUAUUCUUCAUUACAUUACAUACUUUCUUAGACUUGCAUCUAAAAAAAAUGAGCUGUAUCCUUUGUAAAAAAUAAGUGCAUCUAGGGCUGUUAUUUCACAUCAGGUUUGGAGGUCUUUUUCAUAUCUAAACAUGGGUUCAGUGGUUGAAUUUUUUUUAAAUGUCUUAUUUAACAUUUAUUACACAACUCAUUUUGUAGAGAAAAAUUGUUAAACUCCUUCAUACAAUGUUAAUAAUGCAAAAACUGCAAUCCUGAACCACUUGUGUGUUUCCUCUAAUACAUGAUGCAUAAUACAUUAAUAAAUAUUACCUAAUGAA